RNAcentral lists this ribosomal RNA (273 nucleotides) under uncultured bacterium. RNAcentral describes it as "partial 16S ribosomal RNA". It matches the Rfam family "Bacterial small subunit ribosomal RNA", at positions 524 to 796 of the family's 1533-position model. The record is from RNAcentral.
UACGGAGGGUGCAAGCGUUGUCCGGAUUUAUUGGGUUUAAAGGGUACGUAGGCGGGCGUCUAAGUCAGUGGUGAAAGCCUACAGCUCAACUGUGGAAUUGCCAUUGAUACUGGAUGUCUUGAGUAUAGUAGAGGUGGGCAGAAUUCAUGGUGUAGCGGUGAAAUGCAUAGAUACCAUGAGGAAUACCGAUAGGGAAGCCAGCUCACUGGACUAUUACUGACGCUAAGGUACGAAAGCGUGGGGAGCGAACAGGAUUAGAAACCCCAGUAGUCC